GCCAGUGUGGCAUAGCGGUUUGAGUGUUGGACUAUGACUCCAGAGACCAGGAUUCUAUUCCCUGCUCUGCCA
Molecule: non-coding RNA, 72 nt
Organism: Phrynosoma platyrhinos (Desert horned lizard)
Lineage: Eukaryota; Metazoa; Chordata; Lepidosauria; Squamata; Phrynosomatidae
Source: the annotation of a GenBank genome assembly